GGGUCAAGCCGGGGACUCUAGUGGGACUGCCGUUGUCAAAACGGAGGAAGGUGGGGAUGACGUCAAGUCAUCAUGGCCCUUACGGCUGGGGCUACACACGUGCUACAAUGGUGCGGGACAGAGGGUUGCGAACCUGCAAGGCGAAGCAAAUCCCAGAAACCCGUCCCCAGUUCGGAUUGUCGGCUGCAACUCGCCGGCAUGAAGUUGGAAUCGCUAGUAAUCGCGGAUCAGCUACGCCGCGGUGAAUAUGUUCCUGAGCCUUGUACACACCGCCCGUCAAGUCAUGAAAGCUGAGUGCGCCCGAAGUCGUUUGCCCAACCGUAAGGAGGGCGGCGCCGAAGGCGACCUCGGUGAUUGGGACUAAGUCGUAACAAGGUAGCCGUAGGGGAACCUGCGGCUGGAUCACCUCCUUUCUAAGGA
RNAcentral lists this ribosomal RNA (420 nucleotides) under Planctomycetota bacterium. RNAcentral describes it as "bacterial SSU rRNA". It matches the Rfam family "Bacterial small subunit ribosomal RNA", at positions 1123 to 1533 of the family's 1533-position model. The record is from RNAcentral. Lineage: Bacteria; Pseudomonadati; Planctomycetota.